RNAcentral lists this ribosomal RNA (253 nucleotides) under uncultured bacterium. RNAcentral describes it as "partial 16S ribosomal RNA". It matches the Rfam family "Bacterial small subunit ribosomal RNA", at positions 524 to 776 of the family's 1533-position model. The record is from RNAcentral.
UACGUAGGGGGCUAGCGUUGUCCGGAAUCAUUGGGCGUAAAGAGCGCGCAGGCGGUCGUUCAAGUCGCGUGUGAAAGCCCCCGGCUCAACUGGGGAGGGUCACGCGAUACUGAUCGACUCGAAGGCAGGAGAGGGUAGUGGAAUUCCCGGUGUAGUGGUGAAAUGCGUAGAUAUCGGGAGGAACACCAGUGGCGAAGGCGACUACCUGGCCUGUUCUUGACGCUGAGGCGCGAAAGCUAGAGGAGCAAACGGG